UACAGAGGGUGCGAGCGUUAAUCGGAAUUACUGGGCGUAAAGCGCGCGUAGGCGGCUUUGCAAGUCGGGUGUGAAAUCCCCAGGCUUAACCUGGGAACUGCAUUCGAGACUGCAUUGCUAGAGUAUGGGAGAGGGUAGUGGAAUUCCCGGUGUAGUGGUGAAAUGCGUAGAUAUCGGGAGGAACACCAGUGGCGAAGGCGACUACCUGGCCUGUUCUUGACGCUGAGGCGCGAAAGCUAGGGGAGCAAACGGG
This 253-nucleotide ribosomal RNA is filed under the name uncultured bacterium. RNAcentral describes it as "partial 16S ribosomal RNA". It matches the Rfam family "Bacterial small subunit ribosomal RNA", at positions 524 to 776 of the family's 1533-position model. The record is from RNAcentral.